UCCACAAAUAGCAUAAAUAUGCCCGUCCUAGCAAAGUUUCUCCAUCAAGAUGCUCUUAUGUCAUGCAUGUUGUGAUCAAAAUCGCCUUCCCUCUCUAUUGAACUAGCUGCCAUAAUGUUAUACGAGUAUAUCAUCUAGCCGGCUCUUAAGCUGAGUGCUACCCUGACACUGUCACAUGUAAUGGAUCUCAUCUACUUAAUGCUAUUUAUGAAAAGCUCGUCAGCUGCAUAUGCAUGUAUCACACCAUAACUAAAAAAGACUUCCGAAUGGACACUACCUACAUAACAUCAUCCUAAUUUUCUCUUAAGAGGCCCGCAAUAGCGGUCCCCAACCACUAGUGUGACAUGAAGGCAACACAAGCGAGCUGCAUUUUAUUCUCUUUGGAUUGCAAACACAUAAAUUAACAUCACGGAAGUACAUUAAAAAUGCAUUCACAAAUUACAAGCAAACUAAGGCCCUGUUCAUGGCAGUUGUGGCCGUGGGGAUCCGGCUCGUCGAAGGUGGCAGAGGCAGUGGGGAGAUGGCGGGGGUGCUCAGAUCCGCCCCCGGUUGGGUGCGGGCUAGCAUCACGUCCCGCGGCAAAACACAUGAUGGGGUGGGCAACCGGCGGCACGGGGUGAAAGGGGCACGGCGGCAACCUGAGUGGGCACGAGGUCAAGUCCAUGGACGGAUCUGGCAGUAGCGCGUCCGUGGCGGUGGUAGGUGGUGGGCUUGGGCUGAGGCAUGGAGGGGAGAUGCGGGGCGCACUGCAGGGGGGUUGGUGGUCGUGGUGGUGAAAAGUAGGCCCAUCAGCGGUAACAAGAAGGACGAGGAGGCGCGGCGGCCCCGUCCAGGAGGAAGAGGGGCGCGGCGGCACCAGCCAGUAGGAAGAGGUGGCGCGACGGCCCCGGUCAGGAGGAAAAGGGGACACGGGGAGGCGUGGCGCCGACCAGAAGGAAAAGGGAAGUGGGUCGUGCGGGAUGGGGUGCGGGUGGAGCUUGGCGUGUGGAGUGGGGCUAGGCUGGCUGAUUCGGCAUCCUCUUUCGUACUUGGGUGAGUCUUUUUGUGUUGCUUUUAGUAGAACAAGGAGGGGAGGGGCACCGGGUGGGGUGUU
This 1093-nucleotide long non-coding RNA is filed under the name Hordeum vulgare. Its description in RNAcentral is "long non-coding RNA (HVUL_LNC015847)". Lineage: Eukaryota; Viridiplantae; Streptophyta; Magnoliopsida; Poales; Poaceae. The record is from RNAcentral.